GACGUAGGGCGCGAGCGUUGUCCGGAUUUAUUGGGCGUAAAGGGCGCGUAGGCGGGCUGCCGCGUCCGGGGUGAAAUCCCACGGCUCAACCGUGGAACGGCCUCGGAUACGGGCGGCCUCGAGGGGGGUAGGGGCAUCUGGAACUGUGAGUGGAGCGGUGAAAUGCGUUGAUAUUCACAGGAACUCCGGUGGCGAAGGCGAGGUGCUGGACCCCUUCUGACGCUGAGGCGCGAAAGCCAGGGGAGCGAACGGG
This 253-nucleotide ribosomal RNA is filed under the name uncultured bacterium. Its description in RNAcentral is "partial 16S ribosomal RNA". It matches the Rfam family "Bacterial small subunit ribosomal RNA", at positions 524 to 776 of the family's 1533-position model. The record is from RNAcentral.